AGUAAAGAAGCGAAGCUAAGCGGCGCUGGUGAAGCGGCUCAUCAGGUCUAUCAGGAAACCUGAGAAUUGGAGUGAGAAUCCCAGUGUGGAAAAUCAGGAAAGAGGCUGGUAUGAGCGACAGAGAAGUCAUUCAGGAAAGAGGUUAUUGAAUUCAUUGGAGAAUGAAUGCUGUUCUGAAUUUGUUUACCUCAACAAAUAGCUUACACCUCCAAUCCUGUCUUGGCGUGCCCUGCUCAGAAGACACAAGACACACCAGGAGUGACGUGAGGAAACAGGCAGUAAAGAUAAGCCUUUGCGACUGGGUUACUCAGACCCUCCCUGACAAGGAGGAGCCCAUCUUGAGUGUCCCAGGAGACCUGGACCUUGUGGACAUCCUGCAGAAUGGCAUAUGGAUCCAUUACAAUGAUGACAUCAUGCUGACUGGGCAAGAUGACAAGAGGUUGCUAUACACCAGAGGGCUUGGGAAGACACAUGCCCUGCAGAAGCAAUGCAAAAAAAUGCUAGGUGACACCUGCACAUGCAGUGGCUACAUUACAGAAGAGACUCUGGGCUGGCCAGAAGCCUGGGAGUAAAAACACUGAAAGAUUGGUGAGGAGUCCUGGGGUAGAGGCAUGUCAAUGGACAUAUAGCAUUAAGCAUUAAGUGUCAAGAUUGCUGCACCACACUUUAAUACCCACUAAAAGUAAUGGGUGUUACUUAUAAUCCUCACAGAAGAGGUACUGAACAACCAAGUAGACAAAAUGAUGCAGCCAGCUGCUAUUAGCCAGUCUUUGUUAUCAGCUUUCUCUGAGCUGGCAGGAUAAGCACAUGAAUGGAAUCGCCACAGGGACAGAGAUGGAGGCUGUGUAUGGACCCAAAACUGCUGGCUUCCACUUGAAAAGGCUGAUCUGGAUACUGCUGCCUUUGAAUGCACAACCUGUUGGCACUAGUUCUUAAGGAGCCCAAUGGACCAUUUGGUGACAAGUCACUUACACUGGGUCCCUGCCAUCCUGGAACAGUCAGCAGUUCACAGAAAAACCUGCUCCUGAUUACAAGGAUAUGUCGAUUGCAGGGAGGCAGAGGAAGAAAUACAACAGGAUGUCUAUCGAACACAACUUUGGAGUAAGACCUUGGGACCCAACUCCUGUUUGCUUCAUAUACAAGCUUUGAGACGUGAUGAGUUUGCCUCGAUUCUCUAAGCCUCAGUUUCCUCAUCUGUUGUUGUGAGGGAAAUAAUGCAUGGAAAGCUUUUAACACAAUGGCUGGCACACAGUGAAAGUGCAAGACGUUAACCAUUAUCAUGAGAGUUUUCAAUUGGAAUGAAUAGGAGACUUAAAUUUGCAUGAUUGUACUUUUACACUAAGCCAUUAAUGAUGCAUUCAUUUAGUUUUCUACUCCCAAAGAACAUAGAUUUGAUUAAUUAUAACAAGAAUUUAAAAAUAUUUCCAUUAUUCAGAAAUAACCUACAGAGUCUAAGCCUGUCCUUUCCUUCCUCCCUUUUUCCCAA
RNAcentral lists this long non-coding RNA (1486 nucleotides) under Homo sapiens (human). RNAcentral's name for it is "SCOC antisense RNA 1". The record is from RNAcentral. Lineage: Eukaryota; Metazoa; Chordata; Mammalia; Primates; Hominidae.